ACACAACCUCGUGAUUACACAUUUCUACACAUUUCAAAAUGAUCACCACAAGUCGUCUAAUUACCAUAGAUGUGUAAGAAGCAUCCACUAUCUUUUCCAGAGUGGUUGUAUAUUUCACAUUCCCACCUUGCAGGAGUGUUCUAUGCCUGAGCCACAUCAUCACCAACUAGCGGUAGUCAGUUGUUAUGUCAUUCUAAUUGGUGUGUAUGUUAUCUCACUGUGGGUUUAAUUUGCACUUCUCUGAUAACAAAUGAUAUUGAGCCUCUUUUGACACGGUUGUUAUCUAGUUGUAUAUCUUCUUUUGUGAAGUGUCUAUUGAAAUAUUUUGCCUAUAUUUUUAUUAAGUUGAUCUUCUUCCUAUGAUUUCUCAUAGAGGCUGGAUACAAGGCCUUUGUCAGAUAUGAGCCCAUUUCUAUUUCUUGAUGAUGUCUUUCAAAAAGUAGAAACUUUUCAUUUUGGUGGAGUGUAUUCAUUUUUCUCUUUUAUGCAUCAUGCGCUUUUUUUGUGAUGAAACUGCCCCAAAUUUACAGACAGUCUCUCCUGUUUUCUUCUGGAAAUUUUAUAAUUUGAAUUCUUUAAGUUCAUGAUUUGAACAUUUAAGUUCAUGACCCACUUUGAGUUUAUUGUUGGGUGCGAAGUUGGGAUCAAUAUUUACAUUUUCCCAAAUAGAGAUCUUGCUCUUCUGCCACCAUUUGUUGAAAAGAUUAGCCUCUCUUUAUUGAAAGUAACUUCACUGAAAAUUAAUUGAAUAUACAAAUAGGGAUAUAUUUCUGUCUCUCUAUUCUGUUCUCCCGAUCUGUAUGUCUAUCUUUUUACCUGAAUCACACUGUCUUAAUUAAUAUAGCCUUAUAGUAAGUCAUGAAAUUAGGUAAUGUAAAUCCUUGGUUUACACCUAUGAUCUUUUUGAAAUUGUGUCAUUUAUUCUAGGAUCUUUAUUUUGCAUAAACAUUUUUUUGCUUUUUUUUUUUUUUUUUUUUGGCCAAUGGACAUUCAGUAUUCAUUCUAGUUUCCUGAAGUUGUCUUUUAUUUAUUUAUUUAUUUAUUUGGCCACACUUGUGGCAUGCAGGAGUUCCUGUGCCAGGAAUUGAACCCAUGCCACAGAAGUGACCCAAGCCACAGCAGUGACCAUUCCAAAUCCUUAACUUGCUGAGCCAUGAGGGAACGCCUCCAUAAAAAUUUUAGAAUAAGAAUAUUAAUUUUCCAAAAGCUUUCUGGAAUGUUGAUUGGGGUUGUGUUCCUAGGUGAGCAGUAAAUAGCCAGCACCCUUGGAUUUUCUUGAUUUAUGGCACCAGAAAAACUCAGGCUUUGGCCCAGCAGCAAGCUGAGAGCCACUACAGGGCAAAAUCAAGGGAGAGUGCUGUGCCUGACCAUAUCAUCCUCAAACCUAACAACACCGGAGGUAACUCUGGCAGAUAAGGCCAACCCUCUGGCAAGCCUCAAGGACAGAGUCAUUGCACAGACUCCCCAGCAUCCUGGAGCAAGGCUAUGUUUUCUCCAAGAGGGAAUGACUCACCAUUUGAAAGAGGCUCCUGGUCUGCUACUGGUUUUAGUAACAACUGAGCACCUGAACUUGCAACAUCAGGUUCCCCAAAAAAACCAACAAAGGAGAAACUGCCUAAUCCUCAUUUACAAAUGGGUUGCCUGAAUAUGAUGGGUGUCCUGAAAAUAAACUGCCACUCCCUGCAUCACCACAAGGUGGAACUUCAGUGGGCAGAGCUGUGAGCAGAACAGCUGAUCGUCUACUUCAUAGGGAGGAAAAGCUUCUAUUAUACAGGCAGAACCUCGCAAUCUCAUCUGUGAAAUUAAAAAUGUAAUCAUAAUGGAUUCGCCUGGUGCUGAUGGUUUUAGACCAGAGGUUUCUGAUAGCUCACUUUCAGUGUCAGUUUUGAUCCAGGUGUUGGAUUGUCUAUGGAGUAAAAUGCUUGAUUCUCCCAGCCCCCUCUAACCAGGGGGCUGACAUCUUGGAAUAAAAGGUUUGGAAGUACAGAAGUCCACUUUGUGAAGCAUCCUUGUGGUCCGUAGAGAAAAUGAACAUACUUCCUGAUUUGCUUCUAUUGUCCUGGCAUCCCUCUGGUUUAAUGAGCUCUUAUCGAGGCAGCCCAUACCCGGAGCAGUGAGAGUGGCACCACCAGACUCGUUCCCCUGGACCACACGUGGCAUCUCAGCAUCUGUCCGCCAUAGUUGUGAGCACCUGUGCUUUACCUGGAUUCAUUCUGUGCAUUGCUUAGCCAGAUGGGUCCCAAGGAGCGGAGAGGUGAGUUGAAGUACAAAUGAACCACAGAUGAGCUAAGGACCACUGUGUAUUCCUGUCUCCUUUGCCGCUUGGAAAUUAAAGGAGGAAGAACUGUAGGCACCACGCCAUCCUCUUAGCUGGUAUCACCUAGCCAGAUGCCUGGGAGAUAAAAGGUAUAAAAUUACCCCCUUAUAUUUUCCCUCCAAGGAGAUUUCGCUUCUGGGAUCCUAGCACCAGAAAAUAGAAACCCUUGGCUACUUAACAAACAGGUAACCAACACUUUUUAGAUUUGCGUGUGCUUCUUGAAUUACCAAGAGAAAUGUAUGAUUUCACACAAAGUCAAAGAUGACAGAUGAUGUGUUCAGGACGUAUACAGGUGAUCUGGUGUCCGCAGCAUCUGAAGAGUGCUUUCCUUGCCUUCUCAAUUCCCCUGCUGCCUGGUAACCAGGAGGCAGCGCAGUGCAGCGCAGGGCCACGGGUAUCAAACUGAGGAUCACCUCCAGGGCUUCCACCUACCACCUACCAGCCGUGGGACAUCGGGCAAAUUCCUCGACUUGACGGGGCUCUUAUGAGGAUUAAGUGAGAUAAUCUGUGUAAAGCUUUUAGUACCGGGCCACAUGGUAAGUACUCAGAAGGGACUGUUGGUACUUACAGUUCUGGAGAGGCUAGGUCAUCUAAUCACCUGUGUUUUCUGCUGGGUGAACCAAGGGGAUUUUCCACCUCCUGGUUAGUUCAUAAGGUAUGUUAAUCACAGGAAAGUUUAUACGAUGAUGAGUUGGUGGUUGCCUAAUUUGAUGAGUCAGAUUGUUUUCUUUUUUUCACUUCUGUGUUGAAAAUAGAAAUUUAGGUCAACUUUUUGCUGGAGGCAGAAAAGUUUUUUUAGGAGUUCUCCUGUGGGGCAGCGGGUUCAGGAUUCGGCAUUGUCACCGCAGCGGCUUUGGGACACUGCUGUGGCUGGUGUUCCAUCCCUGGCCUGGGAACUUCCACAGGCCGAGGGUGCGGCCAAAAACAAAACAUUCUUUUUAUUGGGUUACCUGUCUGAAAUGAGAAAGAAACCCCUUUGAAUGCCUGGCUAUCGACUCAGCCCCACAGCUGAUAUGAAUAGAUUUCCUUUGGGAACCUCAAGUAAGAGUCUUAGGAGAGAGUCUAUGUAUGGCUCUUAAGCUGGGAAACAUCGAUUAAAAUCUAGCUUAGAUUUAGUUUCUAAGGCUACCGGAAUUGAGACAUUUAAAGACUCAGAAUACCAGGCUUCUUUGGGUGAAUUUAACAGUGUGUGCUGUGAACAGCUGCACGAGAAUCAAAGGUCAUUACUGCCAUUGCCCAGGGCUGCAGUGUCAGCAAAGGCAACCCAGCAGGAGGAUGCAUGUGGUGGGAAUUUCGGGGAUGCCUAGGACCACCCAAGGUGGUCAUCCCACUAAGAAGAGCUUACCUAACGCAUUGCUCUAAUAGGCUCUUAGGUUGCUAAUAAUCAUAUGGCCUUAAUCAGCAGUAAAUGAGAACCUACUUAAUCAACCCACAGUCUUAAGGUAGUGUGAAGUAACAAGAAAAGUGAACUGCUACUAAGUGGCAUUACUCUGACAAGACUGGCAUAUUUUCAUUUUCCCAGUGUUCUCUUCUGUGCAUGAAACUGGGUUCUGGGCUUAAUAACCCUCAGCCAUAAAGUACUGUAACAUGUUAGUUCAUGCUGGGUGGCAACAGGUUUGUUUUUCAUGAUUAUGUAAUCUGAAUUCUUCUUCCAAGAAAGGAUUUGGAAAUGAGCUAUUAAAUUGGAUUGCCAGCAGACAUUUGGUCUAAAUGCACAUCUGCAUUAGCUGCAUGAAACUCCGGCCCUUUCUCUCUCAUGGCCCCCUACCCCUCUACAAAUCUGAAAACUGCAACUCUAGUGUGGCCCAUGAGAAAAACAGUCCAGCAGCUGGCCGAGGUUUACAUAAAGCAGUGAAAUGCCUACUAAGGAUUUUUAGGUGAGGGUAUUUGAUCUUCCUUGGUCUUAAAUAGCAACCUAAUGAGCCAGGCGAUCUGGGCACUCCGUACACUUGUACCCAGAUUAGAUUGGCUUUAAAAACUAAUAUAGUGUUAAAAUAUUGUGCAAAGGGUGCCUACUGGAGUAGGUUCAAAGACUUCAAGUGCUAGGUUGGUAUUUAUUGACUAAAAUGCUACUUAGAAAAGAGUUCACGUUGUUCUUAAUUUCCAAGACAAAGCUGAAAACCACAGCAAAUAACUGCUUGGGGGUUUGCAUUCCAUAGUCCUGGACUCAGAGGCAAGCUUCCUGUUCCCUCUUGGCUGGCAGACCCGACCCGAAGGCCAGGCGGUGAAUGGUUUGGUUCUUAGAGUUGCAGAAUCUGCACCGGGUGCCAGACCAGGUGUUUUUUGUUUUUUUAAGUUCAUCGUAAAGAUUUGGAUCUCACGGAAAGAGAACAGGAGAGCAGACUGAGUUAGGUAUUUGGGCAAAGACCAUCUCUUUACAAAGAUCCACACACCUGAGUAGCUCCCAAAGAGGAGGGUUUCAAAAUAACUGAGACCCACACUUGGAAAACGCGAAUCAUUCCCCGGGAUCUUCUUGGUAAGAUUUCAGGAAUUAAAAGGAAGAAAAGAAAAAGAAAAAGAACCAUUCAAGAUUCUCAGGCCAACAGGAUUUUUAUUUUUUUCCUUCUAGGGGAAAUGCCAGAUUUUUUUCAAGUAGUAUAAUUCCGUGUUUUUGUAUGCAACUUGUAUGCACAGUCCUAUGUUUAUAAGGAGCUGAAAGUCAAAUGCUGAGAUUUCCUCUGCUACCUUUACAGCUGGUGCUCUUACAUGGGCCCAGGUCAGAACCUACAGGAAACUCUGGCUGUGCGUGUGCAUGUUUGUAACAAAGAAAGGGAGAGAGAAAGAUACAGAUAAAGACAGGGAAUUCCAGAAUUGUCCUUGCAAGGAGUAGUUAUGAGGCUGAAUGUUCUAGUGGAAAAUAAAUGAAGAGAAUCCUAGAACACUAGUUAUUCAAAUAGCAUGCCCACAUGAAUUGCUUAGGAAAAACCAUUAACCUCUUCUUCUCUGCCCCAUUCUUUCAGCAAUUUUAAAGGUCUUAUGGCCAAAGGACAAGAUCCGGAAGGGUUGGUGGUGGGGCCGGGAAGAGUUGAAGUUUAACUCAGCUGAUCUGGGGGCGAAUUUCCUUGGCAGUGCAAAGGCUCUCAAUGAAGGAUCUCUGCCAGACAGAAGCAGCGCAGGCCACGCCCGGGCCACAGCGAGGCCCGUCCCUGACCCUCCUUCAGAGAAGAGGCUUGUGUCCUUUUCUGAGGCAGCCCCUCCCUUGGGUAGACAAACAAGCCUCCUCAGUACGCAUCCUCCCCCACCCCCACCAGUGUGCUCAUUCCAACCUUUGUGCCCCCUUCCAACCUCUCCUUAUAAUUCUCUCUCCCCACCUCUUUAACCCAACCUCUCACCCCCUUCCAGGUCCAACACCAGAUCCUCUAAGCAUCCUUGCAAAUAAAGAACGUUCCCCUGGGAUGCUCUCCAUCCUCUCCGCCCUCAUCAGGCUGCUAAUAUUUUCACUGUUUCUUAUAGACGCUGUAGAGACAAAAGCCCUUCUCCUUUCUUUUCUGGCUGUCCAAUUCUUUCUUUUCUUCAAAAAAUAAAUAACCUUAU
RNAcentral lists this long non-coding RNA (5851 nucleotides) under Sus scrofa (pig). RNAcentral's name for it is "lncRNA (ENSSSCG00065033517.1)". The record is from RNAcentral. Lineage: Eukaryota; Metazoa; Chordata; Mammalia; Artiodactyla; Suidae.